AUCCUUUUGUGGUUCAUAAGCAUGAUGAUUGGGUUUUAACACUAUUGUGUGAGAUGUGCCUGCCCCUGGACCUUGUUAUGAAGUUGGAGGAUGUGCCCUCUGAUG
Molecule: small nucleolar RNA, 105 nt
Organism: Cynocephalus volans (Philippine flying lemur)
Lineage: Eukaryota; Metazoa; Chordata; Mammalia; Dermoptera; Cynocephalidae
Product: small nucleolar RNA U13
Exons: 1
Source: RefSeq, a predicted model, not a curated record